RNAcentral lists this ribosomal RNA (513 nucleotides) under Herbaspirillum sp. Its description in RNAcentral is "partial 23S ribosomal RNA". It matches the Rfam family "Bacterial large subunit ribosomal RNA", at positions 1281 to 1778 of the family's 2925-position model. The record is from RNAcentral. Lineage: Bacteria; Pseudomonadati; Pseudomonadota; Betaproteobacteria; Burkholderiales; Oxalobacteraceae.
AUCAGAAGUGCGAAUGCUGACAUGAGUAACGAUAAAGGGAGAGAAAAACUCUCUCGCCGGAAGAUCAAGGUUUCUUGUCCAACGUUAAUCGGGGCAGGGUAAGUAGACCCCUAAGGUGAGGCCGAAAGGCGUAAUCGAUGGGAAACAGGUUAAUAUUCCUGUACUUCUUAUAACUGCGAUGGGGGGACGGAGAAGGCUAGGUGGGCCAGGCGACGGUUGUCCUGGUUCAAGGGUGUAGGCUGUAUUCUUAGGUAAAUCCGGGAAUACAUUAAGGCUGAGACCCGAUGUCGAGCUGCUACGGCAGUGAAGUCAUUGAUGCCAUGCUUCCGGGAAAAGCCUCUAAGCUUCAGGUUAUAAGGAAUCGUACUCCAAACCGACACAGGUGAUCAGGUAGAGAAUACCAAGGCGCUUGAGAGAACUCGGGUGAAGGAACUAGGCAAAAUCGUACCCUAACUUCGGGAGAAGGCACGCCGGCUAGGGUGAUGAGACUUGCUCUCACAGCGUUGACUGGUC